AACGAACGCUGGCGGCAUGCCUAACACAUGCAAGUCGAACGAGACCUUCGGGUCUAGUGGCGCACGGGUGCGUAACGCGUGGGAACCUGCCCGUAGGUUCGGAAUAACUCCCCGAAAGGGGUGCUAAUACCGGAUAAUGUCUUCGGACCAAAGGUUUAUCGCCUUUGGAUGGGCCCGCGUUGGAUUAGCUAGUUGGUAGGGUAAAAGCCUACCAAGGCGACGAUCCAUAGCUGGUCUGAGAGGAUGAUCAGCCACACUGGGACUGAGACACGGCCCAGACUCCUACGGGAGGCAGCAGUGGGGGAUAUUGGACAAUGGGCGAAAGCCUGAUCCAGCAAUGCCGCGUGAGUGAUGAAGGCCUUAGGGUUGUAAAGCUCUUUUACCCGGGAUGAUAAUGACAGUACCGGGAGAAUAAGCUCCGGCUAACUCCGUG
RNAcentral lists this ribosomal RNA (433 nucleotides) under uncultured bacterium. Its description in RNAcentral is "partial 16S ribosomal RNA". It matches the Rfam family "Bacterial small subunit ribosomal RNA", at positions 29 to 507 of the family's 1533-position model. The record is from RNAcentral.